Molecule: long non-coding RNA, 711 nt
Organism: Gasterosteus aculeatus aculeatus (three-spined stickleback)
Lineage: Eukaryota; Metazoa; Chordata; Actinopteri; Perciformes; Gasterosteidae
Source: Ensembl
CAAGACAUUGUUGAUUAUCGAUGAAUAAAACAUGUAAUGUGCAGAAUGACCAUUUGUCGCAAUGAGUCUGUUUCCUCUGUUUUUUACAGUCUCAGCAGCCUGUCAACCCCCCACCCUUCCCUCCCGCGCUCUCCCGCUGUCGGCCCAAAAAGAAUGGGGCCGGGGAAGAGAGAAGAUGGAGGGGAGCGAGGUGGUGCGGCCGUUUGCUCCCGUCUCGACCACGGGUAUUCUUGGGUUGAUAAUACAGAUGUCGAUGUUAUUGCUUGAGAAUACGCGUAGCUGAGCGGAAGCCAUCACCAACGGACAAUAACGGACAGCAGAACCAGAGGGAGCACGAGCGUGGCGGGAGAGGCGGCGGCGGCGGGAGAGGGCGACGGCGGUCCUCUCCUCGAGUCCCCGCUUGUUGUCCACCAGAAUCCGCCCCGGCAUCGUCUCGGCCCUCUGCAGGAAAUACGCCGGCCGUAGGAUUGAGUGAUGAAGAAUAGCUGCCCACUCUCCGAGGCGCCGUUGGAAGGACACAAACGAGUACGCCAUCUUGUGCUCACCGUCGGAAUAACGACGCUUUCAGAUCCUUUGGGCAAUCGGGGUCUUUGUCUCCUUAAACACUCGGUCACAUUGUUGUACUAAGAGACUGUACAUGAAUGGAUAGUUUUGUAUUUUAUUUGUUUGGCUGCUGAAGGGAUUGUAGGUGUAUGUGUUACACCACAGAGA